AAUCAACGCUGGCGGCGUGCCUCAGACAUGCAAGUCGAACGCGAAAGUUCCCUUCGGGGAGCGAGUAGAGUGGCGCACGGGUGAGUAACACGUAGGUAAUUUGCCUUCGGGUGGGGAAUAACUCAGGGAAACUUGAGCUAAUACCGCAUAAUGCAGCGGCUCGACAUCGAGACAGUUGUUAAAGCGGGGGAGCGAGCAAUCGCCCUCGCGCCUGAAGAGAAGCCUGCGGCAGAUUAGCUAGUUGGUAGGGUAAUGGCCUACCAAGGCGACGAUCUGUAACCGGCCUGAGAGGGCGGUCGGUCACACUGACACUGACAUACGGGUCAGACUCCUACGGGAGGCAGCAGUCGGGAAUUUUGGGCAAUGGGCGAAAGCCUGACCCAGCAACGCCGCGUGAAGGAUGAAAUCCCUCGGGAUGUAAACUUCGUAAGAACAGGAAGAAUAAGUAGGGGACAAUACCCCCUAUGAUGACGGUACUGUUUGUAAGCUCCGGCUAACUCCGUGC
RNAcentral lists this ribosomal RNA (505 nucleotides) under uncultured bacterium. Its description in RNAcentral is "bacterial SSU rRNA". It matches the Rfam family "Bacterial small subunit ribosomal RNA", at positions 32 to 508 of the family's 1533-position model. The record is from RNAcentral.